Long non-coding RNA from Homo sapiens (human), 616 nucleotides. Ensembl annotates it as long intergenic non-protein coding RNA 3004. NCBI's taxonomy places the organism in Eukaryota, Metazoa, Chordata, Mammalia, Primates, Hominidae. The record is from Ensembl.
GGCAGAGGAACGGAACUUCCCUUUGUGGAAGUUCCUGGAUCUUCCAGAGCCUGGGGAGUUUUCCUCUUCCUUGGAUUCCAGGAGAUAUGUUAAUAUUCUUUUAAUAAAUGCCUUUUUUGUGUAGAAAUGCUUGUUUGGUUUCUGAUAGUUGUAACCUAAAAAAUCUUUAGUAAGCCAUUGGUCUGCUGUGGGGAGCGUCGAGAUGAAACUGGAACGUUGUUUGAACCUAGAUCAUAAAGUGACUCCAACAUCUUCAUACCAGGGAGAGGAGGAAGCUGUGCUGUGAAGGAUCCUUUUUCAUCAUGAUUAUUGCAUCCACAGAAGCAGUGAUAAAUUCUAACAGAUAAUGCAACUCAGUCUACUUGGAUGUUCACACCUGAGACUGGAGAAGACCUGCUGCCUUCUGCAGAGCCAAACAUUCCUCACAUGCUCCUCCACAAUGCUAGUUAAUGCAGCAAGAAUAGUCUUAUAUAGACUAUAAACUCCUGGUACACUGUGUCUACAUUGCUCACUGCAGUAUCCCAACAUCUAAGACCAUGGUCUUAGAUGUCUGGUACAGGACUGGUGCUCAGUAUGCAUUGAAUGAAUAAAUGAAUGAAUAUAGCAAAGCAUUCCA